CAUAUGGAAGAAAAGACACAAUAUUACUAAGAUAUCAAUUCUUUCCAUAGUUAUCUAUAGAUUCAAUGCAAUCCCAAUCAAAAGCCAAGCAGGAUUUUU
This is a non-coding RNA of Ceratotherium simum simum (southern white rhinoceros), 99 nucleotides long. NCBI's taxonomy places the organism in Eukaryota, Metazoa, Chordata, Mammalia, Perissodactyla, Rhinocerotidae. The record is from RefSeq and is a predicted model, not a curated record.